This 102-nucleotide ribosomal RNA is filed under the name Longimicrobiales bacterium. The record is from RNAcentral. Lineage: Bacteria; Pseudomonadati; Gemmatimonadota; Longimicrobiia; Longimicrobiales.
GCGAGGGCCACACCCGUUCCCAUCCCGAACACGGCCGUUAAGCCUCGCAGCGCGGAUGGUACUGCCGGGGAGACCCGGUGGGAGAGUACGCCGCCGCCAGCC